GAUAAACGCUGGCGGCGUGCCUAAAACAUGCAAGUCGAACGGACCCUUUCGGGGGUUAGUGGCGGACGGCUGAGUAACACGUGGGUGACCUGCCCUCGAGCGGGGGAUAACUGCCCGAAAGGGUGGCUAAUACCGCAGAUGUCGCGGAUUCGGUUUCGUGACUGAACUUACGGGGUUCGGGGAGGGGCCUGCGUCCGAUUAGCUAGCUGGUGGGGUGACGGCCUACCAGGGCGACGAUCGGUAGCUGGUCUGAGAGGAUGAUCAGCCAGACUGGGACUGCGAACGGCCCAGACUCCUACGGGAGGCAGCAGUUAGGAAUUUUGGGCAAUGGGCGGAAGCCUGACCCAGCAACGCCGCGUGGGUGAAGAAGGCCCUCGGGUCGUAAAGCCCUUUUCCCAGGGAAGAUGGUGACGGUACCUGGGGAAUCAGCCCCGGCUAACUACGUGCCAGCAGCCGCAGUAAUAC
Molecule: ribosomal RNA, 465 nt
Filed under: uncultured bacterium
Lineage: Bacteria
Description: bacterial SSU rRNA
Rfam family: Bacterial small subunit ribosomal RNA
Source: RNAcentral